This 312-nucleotide long non-coding RNA is filed under the name Mytilus galloprovincialis (Mediterranean mussel). The record is from RNAcentral. Lineage: Eukaryota; Metazoa; Mollusca; Bivalvia; Mytilida; Mytilidae.
UUUUUGUCUUGUCACUAUCUUGUGGCUGUUGUGAGACUGUCUUACCACAGUCGUGGGGUUGUCGUGCGCUAAACACAUUGUCGUGGGUACCAAAAUAAACAUAAUCGUACGACUGUCGCACGGAGAUCGUAAAACAGUCUCACGACUGUCGCAAGACACUCGUGAUACAGUUGCACGAUUGUCGCACGAAUAUCAAAUUGUUUAAAGUGCUUGCACAGCAUUGAUUGUCUGUUGUACGACAGAGGUACGUUCGUCGUGCAAUAGAAUUUCCUAUCAUUUAGAAGAAUACAAUUCUGCGGGAAUGAAUGAUUG